Molecule: ribosomal RNA, 253 nt
Filed under: uncultured bacterium
Lineage: Bacteria
Description: partial 16S ribosomal RNA
Rfam family: Bacterial small subunit ribosomal RNA
Source: RNAcentral
UACGAAGGGGGCUAGCGUUGUUCGGAAUUACUGGGCGUAAAGCGCGCGCAGGCGGUUCUUUAAGUCAGGGGUGAAAGCCCAGAGCUCAACUCUGGAAUUGCCUUUGAUACUGAGGAUCUUGAGUUCGGGAGAGGUGAGUGGAACUGCGAGUGUAGAGGUGAAAUUCGUAGAUAUUCGCAAGAACACCAGUGGCGAAGGCGGCUCACUGGCCCGAUACUGACGCUGAGGCACGAAAGCGUGGGGAGCAAACAGG